RNAcentral lists this long non-coding RNA (1457 nucleotides) under Piliocolobus tephrosceles (Ugandan red Colobus). Its description in RNAcentral is "lncRNA (ENSPTEG00000010306.1)". The record is from RNAcentral. Lineage: Eukaryota; Metazoa; Chordata; Mammalia; Primates; Cercopithecidae.
UGAAAAAAUAAAUAUGAACACCAAUAAAAAUGAUAUAACACAUGCUUUACGUGUAGCAAAAACAUGCAAUGCUUUUUACAUAAAAACAUUAGAUAUAUAUGGUAUUGUAAAUGAAUACGCAAAUAAAGUUGCACUUUAUUCUAACUACUACUUGAAGAAUGUAAUGAAACAAGAUGGGAGAAAUGUCGAGUGUGUUGUUUCUGUUAAUCAUGAUUAUAGUGACCUCAACAUAAAUGGUAACAUAAGUAAUGUUAGUGUUGAUGGAAAUGGUAGCAAAGUUACUCGUACUAACACACAAAAAAUGACAAACGUUGAUAAACUUAAAAAUAAUUAUACGUCAUUUUCUUUUGAUGGGAAGGAUGGUAACCGAGAUGGUAACCGAGAUGGUAACCGAGAUGGUAACCGAGAUGACAAGCGAGAUGGUAACCGAGAUGACAAGCGAAGUGGCAGCAUUGCUACUAACGAUGCAUCUAAUUGGAAUAACAGCCUAAUUAGUAACAAAAAUAAUGAAAAUGUCUUACCUUUAAAUAAAAACGAUUUUAUGAAGUUACAUAAAACAAGUAUGAACUCUGUAGUGAAUACAUUUAAAUCCUUUUGGGGUCUUCAAAGUAGCAAAAAGAAUACACAUUUACAGUUGUUAAAAGAAUCCGUAAUAUUAUCAAAUACAUGUGUUCAAAACAAUAUAAAUAAUAUUACUACUAAUGCUACUACUAAUACUAAUACUAAUACUACUACUAAUGCUGCUUCUACUUCUGUUAUAAUUACUGACAAUGUAAACACAAACUUGAUUAAAAAAUAUAGUAGUGAAUUAGGAAAGGGACUACAUGUUAUACAUGAACAAACAAUAAAAGGUAAUGUACCAAUUACUUAUAUGCUUAUGGGAUCUACAAAUAAUAAACUAAGUUAUACAAUAUUAGCUAUUGGUUGUAAGGAUGGGGAUGUUUACAUAUAUAAAUGUUUUAAAACUUCAUUUGAAGAAGCAUCAGCAACUGGUACUACUACAUCUACUAAUAAUAAUACUAUGGAUAGUGGUGGUAAUGGUAGUAAUGGUGGUAAUGGUGGUAAUAGUGGUAAUAGUGGUAGUGGUGGUAAUAGUGGUAGUGGUGGUAAUAGUGGUAAUAGUGGUAGUGACCUUGUUAAUGUUACUGAUGGUAUUAUCAAACAAAAUGAAACAAAGUCAAUAGAAGAUAACACUAACGCCAGCAUAAAAUUAUUAACUAAAUUAUGCGGACAUAAAAAAGCAAUUACUUGUUUAGUUUUUACAAUUAAUGAAAAUAAAAUAAUAUCAACAUCAAUAGACAGAACUAUAAGAAUAUGGGAAGUAGCAACAGGGUGUUUGUUGAAAGUAUUUUCAGAUUCUGCAGCAACAUUAUCUGUAUUAUUAUUUUAUAAUAAUGUUGACAUUUUUUUAUGUUCUAACUGUACAUGCUUAUUACGAACAGUAAAUUUAAACACAG